RNAcentral lists this long non-coding RNA (700 nucleotides) under Apteryx owenii (little spotted kiwi). Its description in RNAcentral is "lncRNA (ENSAOWG00000006654.1)". Lineage: Eukaryota; Metazoa; Chordata; Aves; Apterygiformes; Apterygidae. The record is from RNAcentral.
UUAAAUACUGAAGUUUAACUGGUUUACAAAAUUAAUUGAAUGCUAAUAUUAUAAAUGUUAGUAUUGCAGGUUAACUGCUACUGAUGUCAGUGUUUGCCCUUUGAUCGCAUGUUUUCAGGAAAGCUUUAAUUUGAUAGUGAGUUUCAUCCUGGCAACUUCCUGCUAGAUUUGUGCCUCAGAAAUGUUUAAGAACUGCCUGACAUUCACAUGGUGGAGAUUCCUUGUUUGUAUCUUAUUAAUUUCUUCUUUGAAUAGAUUCCUUUUACCAUAAGAUAUUUCUUCCUCUCCUCCAGUAACACAGAUUUAUAAAGGAACCCCAAACACUGGAUUAGUAUUCUACAGGUGCAGCACCUCCAAAAAAGAGGUGAAAUAUGGUCAUUCUGUAGCACAGAAGAUAAUCUUCCAGUACACAAUUCCAGUGAAAGAUACAACAUACUGGAAAGGCAGUGGGCUUGGUAAAGUCGCCAGCCAGCCAGCUUACAUGAUGUCUCCUGCUGACCAAUCCAUGAAGAAACAGUUAUCCCUGACAGAAGCUGUUUGUUUUAUUUCAAAGCCUCAGUGGUCCCGGCUCCUUCCUGCCCAAGAGCAGCAGCAGUAAACUCCAUUCUUCCUCCUUGCCUGGCCCUUGGAAGAGAUUGCCUGCUGGCCCACGAGAAUGGUUUUCUGUAAUUGGCUUCUAGGGAAUGCUGUAUGGGAGUAU